AUUAAUAUAGUAUAUUAGUACAUUUGAUUUCCAAUCAGAAAGUAAAAUAAUAUUUAUUUUUUAUUAUUA
RNAcentral lists this transfer RNA (69 nucleotides) under Araneus quadratus. RNAcentral describes it as "tRNA-Gly". Lineage: Eukaryota; Metazoa; Arthropoda; Arachnida; Araneae; Araneidae. The record is from RNAcentral.